AUGGAGAAUAUUCCGUAUCGUUCUAAUCUAAGAAAAAUGUUACAGGCAGAAAAAAACCAUAACAAUGCAACAAAUGUAAAUGCUAGUUCGUAUGAUAAUGAAAAUGUGAAUAUAAAUAAUAAAUAUAACAGUAAGGACGAACAUACUUGGAAUAAAGGUGUUGAUUAUGAUUCUAGUGAAUACAAUGAGAACGUAAAGUUAACAGAACAAAACUUAUACCCCCCACCCGAAUAUGUUGGUUAUUACAAAUAUGAAGGAACAACACAACCUUCUACACGAUUAUAUGAUAAAUCUAAUUACAUACUGGCAAAUAAUGAUGAACUUAUAAAAUAUAAAAACAAAUACAAUAGUAACCACAACAAAAGCAAUGGUAGUAAUGGUAAUAGUAACCAUAACAACAACAAUGACAUUAAUAACAGUAACAAUAACAAUACAGUUAACAUAAAAUCUUUAUCACAAAAAAACAUCCAACCCUAUGAUUAUAUUAAUUCUGCUCUAAAUAGAAAUAUCCAAAAUUACUAUUUUAAUAACGAUUAUAACCAUAACGAUUUGAAUAAUAACAAUUUGAAUAAUAAUAAUUUGAAUAACAACGAUUUGAAUAACAACUAUUUGAAUAACAACGAUUUGAAUAANNNNNNNNNNAACAACGAUUUGAAUAACAACUAUUUGAAUAACAACGAUUUGAAUAAUAGUUAUGUAAAUAAUGAAGUGGGAAAUAUACAACAUUCUGUUUCCAAUUUAAACAAAAAAAAUUAUUUUAAUACAAAUGUUAUUAAGGGUAAAACUAAUGAAUAUAACCACAUACCAACAAACAAUUUCAAUAAUGGUUAUAACUACUUAAAACAUAAUGAAAAUAUACCACAUGAUACAAAUCAUGAUUAUUUAAUGAAAGAUUUUUUAAUGAACAAUUAUGUUACUUCUGUACGUGAUAAUGUGAACAGCAUGGGUGGAAUAAGUGGAAUGGGUGGAAUAAGUGGAAUGGGUGGAAUAAGUGGAAUAAGUGGCAUGGAUGGAAUAAGUGGUAUGGAUGGAAUAAGUGGUAUGGAUGGAAUAAGUGGUAUGAACGUAGUGAGUGACAUGGAUAGAAUGGGUGACAUGAAUGCUAUACCAAACAUAUCAGGUAUUUCCGAUGUAUCCGAAUUUAAUUUAAUAAACAAUGCAAACAACAUGAAUGGUAUUCCUUUUUAUUCAACAAAAUAUAUAAACAAUAUUGAUAAUAAAAAUAUGAAUAUUCCAUUACCCAUAAAUGACACGUCUUUAAAAUUUAAUAAAGCUGAAUAUGAACGUGACAUAACAAUGUUAAAAAAUACUAAACUUUUAAAUUCUAACUUAAACGAAAUGAAAAAUGUAAUAUAUGAUUCAAACGACAACAUGAACCAAAAUAAUUUACUACAGGAUAAUAAUUAUAACAAUAUUAAUAUAGAUUUGAAUAAAUUUCAAGCUAUUGUAUGUUUACAAAAAUUAGAAGAAAUACCAGUUCCUUUUACAAACAUCCAUGAUAUAAAAUAUUCAGUUAGUGUUUAUUUUAAUUCAUAUGAUGAUGUAUUACAAAAAUACGAAUCAAAAUGUUACAACUGUAAGAUAAAUGAAUCAAAUACAUACAUUGAUUGUUAUUUACAAAAUGAAAUAAUAACAUUACCUUAUAAUAAUGAAGAAUUUAUUUAUUUAAAAGUAAAAGAAACUACAUUAUAUAAAACCGAAAUUACUGGUAGAUUACAAUUAAAAGUAAAAUCUCUAUCACAAGAAUAUCCUUUACGUAUACCAAUAAUAGGGGAUGAUGGUAAUUCAAAAGGAUUUUUAAUUAUGAACUUUUUUAUUACACCUUCUUAUUAUGAUGUUAAAAAUGAUAUGAUAACCGAUAUAUCUUCUAUACCUAAUCAAACCAAAUCUACUAGAUUAAAAAGAAAAAAUAAUAGUUUUCAUUUUUUUGAAAAUUUUACUAAAUGGUGCUGUCAGAUAACAGAUUACGAGUUAGAUUAAAAAUGUACACACACGCAUACACAUAUACCUAUGUAAAAUAUAGAAAAAAACGGUACACAAUAUAUAUACAUAUAUAUAUAUAUAGUUAUACAUGUGUGUAUGUUUUUAACCUCUGUUUACAAAUCUUUUUUUUUUUUUUCAGUUUUUUAUUCAUUAGUGCUUUUUCUUCCUUAAGUGUUUUUUUUCUUGUUUUUGUGAUACAUUUGUGAUACACUUGUUUUAAAUUUUUUAUUGUUUUUCCCAUAAAUGUUAACAAUUUUUUAUUUUCUAAAUAAUUAACUUGUAAAUAUAAACUAUGUGUAUAUAUAUAUAUAUAUAUAUAUAUACAUAUGUACAAGCAUAUAUAUAUGUUGGUGCAUAUUCUUUUUUAUUUAUGCGUAUCCAUACGUAUAGCUGUUUACUAUAAUUUUUUUAAAUGUUGCCCUUUUUAUUUUUAUACGCACAUAAAUGCGUAUAUAUAUAUAUAUAUAUAUAUAUAUAUAUAUAUAUAUGUUGGUGCAUAUACAUAUAUAUGUAUGUACAACUAUCACCCUUUAAAUAAUUUAUAUAUUUGUUAAUAUAACAACUCGAUUUUUUUUUUAACUAUUAAAAUUAUUAUUUUUGCUACUACAUAAUAAUAAAUUGAUCGAUGUUAAAUCGAUUUAUUUUAAU
This 2631-nucleotide long non-coding RNA is filed under the name Piliocolobus tephrosceles (Ugandan red Colobus). RNAcentral describes it as "lncRNA (ENSPTEG00000011441.1)". Lineage: Eukaryota; Metazoa; Chordata; Mammalia; Primates; Cercopithecidae. The record is from RNAcentral.